Molecule: long non-coding RNA, 221 nt
Organism: Telopea speciosissima
Lineage: Eukaryota; Viridiplantae; Streptophyta; Magnoliopsida; Proteales; Proteaceae
Exons: 3
Source: RefSeq, a predicted model, not a curated record
ACGGCGGCGAGGUCGAGAGUGCCGGCCGAUUGACCGGCGAAUACAAGUGUAAUGGCGCCUAGAGAGUACUGACAUAAGGAUGUGAAGAUUGCCGGUCCAGCGAGGUACCAGAGCUUCUUGGAUUCAGCACGGAAUUGUGUGAAGAAAUCUCGUAGUCCAUUAAGGUGUUCGAUGUCUCCUUCGGCGGUAAAAGAGACGAUUCUUCCUCCGGGGAGCUGCUG